AAAUUGAAGAGUUUGAUCAUGGCUCAGAUUGAACGCUGGCGGCAGGCCUAACACAUGCAAGUCGAACGGUAGCACAGAGAGCUUGCUCUCGGGUGACGAGUGGCGGACGGGUGAGUAAUGUCUGGGAAACUGCCUGAUGGAGGGGGAUAACUACUGGAAACGGUGGCUAAUACCGCAUAACGUCGCAAGACCAAAGAGGGGGACCUUCGGGCCUCUUGCCAUCAGAUGUGCCCAGAUGGGAUUAGCUAGUUGGUGAGGUAACGGCUCACCAAGGCGACGAUCCCUAGCUGGUCUGAGAGGAUGACCAGCCACACUGGAACUGAGACACGGUCCAGACUCCUACGGGAGGCAGCAGUGGGGAAUAUUGCACAAUGGGCGCAAGCCUGAUGCAGCCAUGCCGCGUGUAUGAAGAAGGCCUUCGGGUUGUAAAGUACUUUCAGCGGGGAGGAAGGUGUUGUGGUUAAUAACCACAGCAAUUGACGUUACCCGCAGAAGAAGCACCGGCUAACUCCGUGCCAGCAGCCGCGGUAAUACGGAGGGUGCAAGCGUUAAUCGGAAUUACUGGGCGUAAAGCGCACGCAGGCGGUCUGUCAAGUCGGAUGUGAAAUCCCCGGGCUCAACCUGGGAACUGCAUUCGAAACUGGCAGGCUUGAGUCUUGUAGAGGGGGGUAGAAUUCCAGGUGUAGCGGUGAAAUGCGUAGAGAUCUGGAGGAAUACCGGUGGCGAAGGCGGCCCCCUGGACAAAGACUGACGCUCAGGUGCGAAAGCGUGGGGAGCAAACAGGAUUAGAUACCCUGGUAGUCCACGCCGUAAACGAUGUCUACUUGGAGGUUGUGCCCUUGAGGCGUGGCUUCCGGAGCUAACGCGUUAAGUAGACCGCCUGGGGAGUACGGCCGCAAGGUUAAAACUCAAAUGAAUUGACGGGGGCCCGCACAAGCGGUGGAGCAUGUGGUUUAAUUCGAUGCAACGCGAAGAACCUUACCUGGUCUUGACAUCCACGGAAGUUUUCAGAGAUGAGAAUGUGCCUUCGGGAACCGUGAGACAGGUGCUGCAUGGCUGUCGUCAGCUCGUGUUGUGAAAUGUUGGGUUAAGUCCCGCAACGAGCGCAACCCUUAUCCUUUGUUGCCAGCGAUUAGGUCGGGAACUCAAAGGAGACUGCCAGUGAUAAACUGGAGGAAGGUGGGGAUGACGUCAAGUCAUCAUGGCCCUUACGACCAGGGCUACACACGUGCUACAAUGGCGCAUACAAAGAGAAGCGACCUCGCGAGAGCAAGCGGACCUCAUAAAGUGCGUCGUAGUCCGGAUUGGAGUCUGCAACUCGACUCCAUGAAGUCGGAAUCGCUAGUAAUCGUGGAUCAGAAUGCCACGGUGAAUACGUUCCCGGGCCUUGUACACACCGCCCGUCACACCAUGGGAGUGGGUUGCAAAAGAAGUAGGUAGCUUAACCUUCGGGAGGGCGCUUACCACUUUGUGAUUCAUGACUGGGGUGAAGUCGUAACAAGGUAACCGUAGGGGAACCUGCGGUUGGAUCACCUCCUUACCUUAAAGAAGC
This 1552-nucleotide ribosomal RNA is filed under the name Salmonella enterica. RNAcentral describes it as "bacterial SSU rRNA". It matches the Rfam family "Bacterial small subunit ribosomal RNA". RNAcentral also lists the same sequence under 1 other name. Lineage: Bacteria; Pseudomonadati; Pseudomonadota; Gammaproteobacteria; Enterobacterales; Enterobacteriaceae. The record is from RNAcentral.